GUCUUUAUAGUUAAACUUAUAACCUUGUCUUUUCGUGACAAAAGUGGCCAAAAGGCCUAUAGAUU
RNAcentral lists this transfer RNA (65 nucleotides) under Elysia timida. RNAcentral's name for it is "tRNA-Glu". The record is from RNAcentral. Lineage: Eukaryota; Metazoa; Mollusca; Gastropoda; Plakobranchidae.